RNAcentral lists this ribosomal RNA (351 nucleotides) under Triticum aestivum (bread wheat). Its description in RNAcentral is "partial small subunit ribosomal RNA". Lineage: Eukaryota; Viridiplantae; Streptophyta; Magnoliopsida; Poales; Poaceae. The record is from RNAcentral.
AUGACCCGCUGCAGCGCCGGGUACAGCGCCUCCACGGCCUACACCUGCUUCACCAUCAGUCCCUACGUCCUCGUCCAGGUCAAGGAUCUUGGCGCCGCAACCGAAUUGCCGCCGCCGACGGAUGUACGAGGGCAAACGCGGUCGAAACUUGGCUGCACGAGCACGGUGAGGGCCUCCAGAACCAGAUCCUCCGCGGCCGCGUGUUGCGCCGCCGGCCGUCACGAAGGCCUCGACUCGCUGUCCAUCGCCGACUUCCGCUCAUCCGCCCGCUCCGCCGCCCGCCAUGGUUCCAGUGAGGCACACACCGUACUGGGAGUUUAUAUAGACUGGCCGCCAUUACUCUCUCGAUGA